UUGUCAUUUUUGUUGCCUAGGCAGACGCCUAGUUGCUAAAAGUCAAGGCGUUUGGGCGAGGUGCCCAGCCAAGGGUGCCUAGUCGCUUAGGCGAUGCCUUGACAACUAUGACAGGCAUCAAAGCCAUGAUAGGACAGAUUUCUUCUCACAUUGUUCAAAACGGUUGGAUGAAUUGUACAUCUUCCUCAGGGUAGUUCAGUGUUGAAAAUUUGAUAGAGCUGAUUCACAUCAGGGUAGUUCAGUGGCUGAAAUCAUCGGACCUAUUCACAGAUUUUACUGUGGAUGAUCUGCCAAGGAAUUGGAGAGAGAUUGGCAGAUUGCUAGCAGUGCCUAGGUCAAAAUGUGUCUAAGUCUGUCUUGAACCCCUCCCCCACUAGAUUUAUAAAGCUGAACUUUGAUGGUAGUAGUAGAGGGAAUCCUGGGCAGUCAGGCAUAUGGGGUGUAUUUAGGGAUGGGAAUGGGACUGUUUUAGCUCUGUUCUCAGGCCCAAUCAGGAGUGGUGACUCUCUCAGGGCUGAGAUCUUUGCAGUCUUGGAAGGUUCCCAAAGAGCAAAGGAUAUGAACAUUAGAAGGCUUGCAAUUGAAGGGGAUUCAGAGGUGGUGGUAGGGUGGCUGCAAGAAGACAAGGCUGGAUUAUGGAACUAAAACAACGAAAGGAGAAGUUUCAGGUGGCUGGUUAAGGACAUGGAAAUAAAGUUCAGUUGGGUGAAGAGAUCUGCUAGUUCGUUUGCUGAUGGGUUAGCUAAUCUAGGGGUGGACAGGGAAUCUACAUUUUGGGCUCAGUUGUAAAUCUGGUUUUCUCAUUCUGUUGGUUCAUGCCUCUGCUGGGGAGUUAAGAGAGUUUAUCUCCCCCUUUGUACAAUUAAUUAUUCUGAUUGAUUAAUGAAAGUUUUGUUAUUGAUAAAAAAAUCUGUCUUCCUCUUACUGCAAUAUAUUUCUGCUUGAAAUGUAGGAUAAUUAAUCUAUCCAUAAUGACCAAAGCAGAAAGAAUUGUGGGAGGAUUGACAAUGUGACAUGAGAAGGGGCACCCUGAACUAAGGGUGUCAAUGGAUUGGAUUUGGGUUGGAACCCAUCCGAAUCACAUCUAAAUUGGACGGUACAAAUUUUGGUAUUGGGUUGGACUGGUCCAUGUUUUAUGGUCUGAUAAUAAUUAGUGGACCGAAAUGGAUGAACUCAAUUUCUCCACAAACCAUCUGAAAAUCCAUCGCAGGCUAAAUCUUCAGACUGAGGACUCCUAUCUAGGUUCUCUCAGGUCAGUGAACUGUCUCUCUGGUGAUUUUCAAUCUUUGGCAGCUUUCUCCCUCCAGCGUCUCUGGCAGCUAUCUCUCUUCCAUGGCAUUUCUAACACGGGCUUCUCAGGCAUCAGUCUUCUCCCUCCGGCAUCAGGUUUCUCAGCAUUCACCAUAAAUGUGAAUGAGUAUUUACAGAAGGAAUUCUUUAAAAAAGAGUUACCAGAUAAAAAUGAUAUUAUUGUAGAAUGCUUAUUUUUUCUAUUAGCAUUAUGGCAUAAUUCAUGUAUCAUCUGGACAUUGACUUCUCUUUUUUGUGUCUCUUUGCUGUUAUUAUGUACUAAUAAAAUACUGUAAAUUGGGAUUCGAUUAUUCUCCACAGCUUUACCAAACAUGUGGUCACUAUGAAACCCAGAACGGCCUGUUAAAAAGGCAUUUGCUUCAUUAAUGCUUGAUAGAGCUGCAGUACUGUCUGUGGGUCUGGCAUUGCCAUGGUGAAGUAGGAUGUGGCCAGUUAUGGCCUGUGCCAUGUUUAAAAAGGGUUCCAAUUUAAUGGUUUGAACAUAAUCCAGAAACCAAUUAGCCAUACUGUUCUGUCAAUUCUAUUCUUGGCAAAACUGCACAUACAAAUGCAUUUUGCAUUUAUACAGCUUAAACACGACUGACUAGCUACAGUUGUACAUGCACUGUCCCCUUAAACAAUAGUCAUAAGUUCAUGUUUAACUGUGAUAUGUUCGGUACUGAUGACUUUAAAUCUGAGAAAGAGGGGUUUAUUUGUUCAUAUUCUUGUUACUGUAACAUGCUUCAUUUGUUAUAUGGAGAUGCUCUGGAUAUAAUGCAUGCCCAUAUCUUCUAGGGUGGAACACAGUUCUGUUAUUAGUUUUACAGGGGCGUUAUUUCUCUGUUAGCAUUUUAAUGAAUUUACUUCACAUGAUGGGGUCUAAAGGAACAUCUGGCUGAUCAGAUCAUCAGAUACUGUAAUUUCUUUGAUCAGAUACAACAUUCAGUUUAAUUAUAUGCACCAGAGAGCAAAUAAUUGGUUCUACCUGGAACAUAUGGUUGAAGAGGAACAACAACUUGGUUUUUUUUAGGUUUUCCUCCUUGACAUAAAUGUUAUGUUAUUUCUCAGUAACUUGGUUCUUUUGGUUGAACACAGGUGCCAGCCUGGGUGAUAUUGACAGGGAUUCUUUGGAAAUUUUGCACCCCUCACCAACUGCUGCUCAGUUGAGCAUGCUCCUCUCUCCAAGACCCCCUAACACCUCUAUCCUGUGUUUUGAGUCCAGAUGGUAAGCCUGCAAUGGGCUUUUAGUAGCCCAGUCAAGGCAGCUGUUGCUUCAGAACUGAGGUUAAAGUUCUUCUAGAGAGUCUUCAAAUAGCUUCAGAGCUGCUGCAAUGGCCUCUUCUUGAGGGUCUUCAAGUGAGUUAAAGUGAUAGCAAUUUUUAAACAGAUUGAGAAGAUGAUAUUGACCAUGAAGUGUUAGCAGAACUGGACAACAUUGAGCUCAAUGCUAUUAUGGUAGUAAAGAGGUAAGUGAUGACAAGGGUAUUAGAUUCAGCAUCUAACAGUUAUGACAAGCUGGAGAAUUUUGCAGCAGUUUUAGAACACUUGCAGCAGUAAGGAUAAAGUUCUCUUAUUGAUGGAGAGAAAGCUGUUGAGAUGCAACCUGAUGCAGUAGCAUUUGGAACACUUGCGGCAGAUGUUGCUCCCGGUAGUUGAUGAAUUUUUUGUAAGGAUGAACUGGACUUGGAUCUAAUAGUAAUCUGCUUGUAUGAAGCCUUGAAUUUUCUGCUAUUUGACAUCAUAGGGAAGAAUCUUAGGAUCAACAGAUAUGCAGAUAUCCCUUUACAGCUCAAAUGAGAAGUAAUUAUGUACUCUUCACGGGAAAUAUCAGUAAAGGAGCACAUUAAUACUGGAUUAA
Molecule: non-coding RNA, 3148 nt
Organism: Nelumbo nucifera (sacred lotus)
Lineage: Eukaryota; Viridiplantae; Streptophyta; Magnoliopsida; Proteales; Nelumbonaceae
Source: RefSeq, a predicted model, not a curated record